AUAACAAUACAGGACUCUUUAGAGGCCCUGUAAUUGUAAUGAGUCCACUUGAAAUCCUUUAACUCUGAUCAAUUGGAGGGCAAGUCUGGUGCAGAGCAACUGACCCAUGCGUGCUGCAGCUGAAACGCCACUAUCACCUGCUGCUGCUCGCACAGUCUCUCCAUUAUGUGCAAGGUGGAGUUCCACCUUGUGGGCACGUCGCAUAUGAGGCGGUGAGCGGGAAGUCCAGCAGCAG
Pelobates cultripes (western spadefoot toad) is the source of this 235-nucleotide non-coding RNA. Lineage: Eukaryota; Metazoa; Chordata; Amphibia; Anura; Pelobatidae. The record is from the annotation of a GenBank genome assembly.